GAUGAACGCUGGCGGCGUGCUUAACACAUGCAAGUCGAACGGAAAGGCUCCUGCUUGCAGGGGUACUCGAGUGGCGAACGGGUGAGUAACACGUGGGUGAUCUGCCCUGCACUUCGGGAUAAGCCUGGGAAACUGGGUCUAAUACCGGAUAGGACGAUGGUUUGGAUGCCAUUGUGGAAAGUUUUUCGGUGUGGGGUGAGCUCGCGGCCUAUCAGCUUGUUGGUGGGGUAAUGGCCUACCAAGGCGUCGACGGGUAGCCGGCCUGAGAGGGUGUACGGCCACAUUGGGACUGAGAUACGGCCCAGACUCCUACGGGAGGCAGCAGUGUGGAAUAUUGCACAAUGGGCGCAAGCCUGAUGCAGCGACGCCGCGUGGGGGAUGACGGCCUUCGGGUUGUAAACUCCUUUCGCUAGGGACGAAGCGCAAGUGACGGUACCUGGAGAAGAAGCACCGGCUAACUACGUG
Molecule: ribosomal RNA, 465 nt
Filed under: uncultured bacterium
Lineage: Bacteria
Description: partial 16S ribosomal RNA
Rfam family: Bacterial small subunit ribosomal RNA
Source: RNAcentral